GACGAACGCUGGCGGCGUGCUUAACACAUGCAAGUCGAGCGGUAAGGCCCUUUCGGGGGUACGACGAGCGGCGAACGGGUGAGUAACACGUGGGUGACCUGCCCUCAGCUCUGGGAUAAGCCUGGGAGACCGGGUCUAAUACUGGAUAUGACUCCAUGACGCAUGUUGUGGGGUGGAAAGCCUUGUGCGGCUGAGGAUGGGCCCGCGGCCUAUCAGCUUGUUGGUGGGGUGAUGGCCUACCAAGGCGACGACGGGUAGCCGGCCUGAGAGGGCGACCGGCCACACUGGGACUGAGACACGGCCCAGACUCCUACGGGAGGCAGCAGUGGGGAAUCUUGCGCAAUGGGCGAAAGCCUGACGCAGCGACGCCGCGUGAGGGAUGACGGCCU
RNAcentral lists this ribosomal RNA (389 nucleotides) under uncultured bacterium. RNAcentral describes it as "bacterial SSU rRNA". It matches the Rfam family "Bacterial small subunit ribosomal RNA", at positions 28 to 417 of the family's 1533-position model. The record is from RNAcentral.